This is a long non-coding RNA of Humulus lupulus (European hop), 470 nucleotides long. RefSeq lists it as uncharacterized. Lineage: Eukaryota; Viridiplantae; Streptophyta; Magnoliopsida; Rosales; Cannabaceae. The transcript has 3 exons. The record is from RefSeq and is a predicted model, not a curated record.
UGUGUUUUUUUUUCUGGUCUCACUUCAUUACAAAUAUGGUUGGAAAAAGUUGAUUUAGGGCUUGAUUUAAACUUUCAGAAAAGGGGAAAGAUCUCUAGAAACUGAAUAAGAAGGCAAAGGGAACUGCCUCUUCUCAGGACAAAUGGCUCUUGGUAAACUUGCAGUCUACUAAGGAGUUCAGCUCACAUAUGCUUAAUCGAGAUACAUGGGCUAAUGAAGCUGUCUCUCAAACAAUCAGUACAAACUUUGUCUUUUGGCAGGUAAGUAUUCCAUUUUUGGGGGCUUUCACACUAAAAUAUAAUAAUAUUCAAGGCGGUUUGGAAAAAUAACAUUUUUUUAAUGUCACUUUGCAAAAUGACCUUCUAUUAGUAAUUUUCAUUUUUUAUUCUGCUAUAAGGAUUCCUUAUAUCUAGUAGCAAAUGCCUAUUUUCAUAUUGUUUCAAGGCCUUGUAUGUACAUCUGUAGAUACA